CUCAAUUUCUAAAGGGGGAAGGGAACGACUUCAAUAUAAGUGCCGAUAGAGGAGACAGCAAUUUAAUUAAUUGUACUAACAACGUACUGAUAGAAACAUUAGUUCUCUUACAAUCAUGUACGAUGAGGAAUCAGGGUUUAUCCCGAAUAAGUCUCAUCAUUUUGUGCUGAUUCAUUUCCUUUUCAGCACUAACUAUAAUUAAAUAAAGAUGUUAUUUUUUUAAUCUGAUUAGUAGAAGGUACCGAAAAUAAUUUGCAUAUCAUAGUAUUGUGAAUUGAAUUUCAUAUGCUUUCUUAUGUACCUGGGUUUCGCGAUUGCAAGCCAUCUUGCUGAAUCAUGAUCUAAUAAAAUGACUGAAAUAGCCAUUUACAUAUAAAGUAACAUAACGUAAAAAUAACUUGCGAAAUAAUCCAACGCCGCUCAGAGUAAAUCUAAGAAUAGGCUAUUGCAUGGUUCUCUAAAAAUAGAAAUCAAUGAAAAUGUAUUUUCUUCUUGCCGAGCGAAAAACUGUAUUUUUGAGCGUAUAAAGCCAGAAAACCGGCAUUGAACUUCUAUGUAAUAUUAAGUUACUACUAUGAUGUCCGUCGACAUAUGUAAACUCUAGUAACUGAGCCUUUUUCUUAAAAAUUAGGUUUGAAAUUAAUGCCAAAUUAAUUAAUGCCUAAUUUAAGCACUGGUGUUUAGCGACGUUCAGUCUCGUUGUAGUUAGCAAUUCCGAUCAUUGUUGGGAAGCUUGUGCACGUGACGCUGAUGCGUUGACCCAUGUAUUAGCUUUGCUUUAUAUUAAUGAAGCGAGGACGCUUCUUACAGCGGGGGGGGACGUGUCAGGCCGUGAUGUCAUCAGCGACUAUUACGUCACCUUCUGUGACGUCACUAUACGUGGGUCACCGCGUAUAUAAGCUGAGAAAGCGCACUGUUAGUCAGUCCCAGCAGAGUCUCAGUCUUAGGCAUACAGCCUUCAGCUGCAGUCAUGCAGACUCCGGCACUCAGACCAAUAUGUAGUGUCGUUAACUCUAUCUCCCAAUCUACUGCACAUACUGUGCUUGAUCCUGUAACUUCUAUCGAGUGUAUCCCAUGAACCUUUCUUCAAUACUUAAGCUUAGAUA
Molecule: long non-coding RNA, 1106 nt
Organism: Hyalella azteca
Lineage: Eukaryota; Metazoa; Arthropoda; Malacostraca; Amphipoda; Hyalellidae
Exons: 3
Source: RefSeq, a predicted model, not a curated record